This 439-nucleotide ribosomal RNA is filed under the name uncultured bacterium. Its description in RNAcentral is "bacterial SSU rRNA". It matches the Rfam family "Bacterial small subunit ribosomal RNA", at positions 340 to 769 of the family's 1533-position model. The record is from RNAcentral.
UACGGAAGGCAGCAGUGGGGAAUAUUGCACAAUGGGCGAAAGCCUGAUGCAGCUAUGCCGCGUGUAUGAAGAAGGCCUUAGGGUUGUAAAGUACUUUCAUCGGGGAGGAAAAAACAAAACUAAUAAUUUUAUUUCUUGACGUUACCCGAAAAAGAAGCACCGGCUAACUCCGUGCCAGCAGCCGCGGUAAUACGGAGGGUGCUAGCGUUAAUCAGAAUUACUGGGCGUAAAGAGCACGUAGGUGGUUUUUUUAAGUCAGAUGUGAAAUCCCUGGGCUUAACCUAGGAACUGCAUUUUGAAACUGAAAUACUAGAGUAUCGUAGAGGGAGGUAGAAUUCUAGGUGUAGCGGUGAAAUGCGUAGAUAUCUGGAGGAAUACCUGUGGCGAAAGCGGCCUCCUAAACGAAUACUGACACUGAGGUGCGAAAAGCGUGGGGAGC